This 465-nucleotide ribosomal RNA is filed under the name Vreelandella stevensii. RNAcentral describes it as "partial 16S ribosomal RNA". It matches the Rfam family "Bacterial small subunit ribosomal RNA", at positions 338 to 795 of the family's 1533-position model. Lineage: Bacteria; Pseudomonadati; Pseudomonadota; Gammaproteobacteria; Oceanospirillales; Halomonadaceae. The record is from RNAcentral.
CCUACGGGAGGCUGCAGUGGGGAAUAUUGGACAAUGGGCGAAAGCCUGAUCCAGCCAUGCCGCGUGUGUGAAGAAGGCCUUCGGGUUGUAAAGCACUUUCAGUGGGGAAGAAAGCCUUGGGGCUAAUACCCUCGAGGAAGGACAUCACCCACAGAAGAAGCACCGGCUAACUCCGUGCCAGCAGCCGCAGUAAUACGGAGGGUGCGAGCGUUAAUCGGAAUUACUGGGCGUAAAGCGCGCGUAGGCGGUCUGAUAAGCCGGUUGUGAAAGCCCCGGGCUCAACCUGGGAACGGCAUCCGGAACUGUCAGGCUAGAGUGCAGGAGAGGAAGGUAGAAUUCCCGGUGUAGCGGUGAAAUGCGUAGAGAUCGGGAGGAAUACCAGUGGCGAAGGCGGUCUUCUGGACUGACACUGACGCUGAGGUGCGAAAGCGUGGGUAGCAAACAGGAUUAGAUACCCUAGUAGUC